GGCCAGACUCCUACGGGAGGCAGCAGUGGGGAAUAUUGCACAAUGGGGGAAACCCUGAUGCAGCGACGCCGCGUGAGUGAAGAAGUAUUUCGGUAUGUAAAGCUCUAUCAGCAGGGAAGAAAAUGACGGUACCUGAUUAAGAAGCCCCGGCUAACUACGUGCCAGCAGCCGCGGUAAUACGUAGGGGGCAAGCGUUAUCCGGAUUUACUGGGUGUAAAGGGAGCGUAGGCGGCGCGCCAAGUCUGAUGUGAAACCCCGGGGCUCAACCCCGGGCAUGCAUUGGAAACUGGCGGGCUGGAGUGCCGGAGAGGUAAGCGGAAUUCCUAGUGUAGCGGUGAAAUGCGUAGAUAUUAGGAGGAACACCAGUGGCGAAGGCGGCUUACUGGACGGCAACUGACGCUGAGGCUCGAAAGCGUGGGGAGCAAACAGGAUUAGAUACCCUCGUA
RNAcentral lists this ribosomal RNA (446 nucleotides) under uncultured bacterium. RNAcentral describes it as "bacterial SSU rRNA". It matches the Rfam family "Bacterial small subunit ribosomal RNA", at positions 329 to 792 of the family's 1533-position model. The record is from RNAcentral.